GUGGGGAAUAUUGGACAAUGGGCGAAAGCCUGAUCCAGCCAUGCCGCGUGUGUGAAGAAGGUCUUCGGAUUGUAAAGCACUUUAAGUUGGGAGGAAGGGCAGUAAGUUAAUACCUUGCUGUUUUGACGUUACCGACAGAAUAAGCACCGGCUAACUUCGUGCCAGCAGCCGCGGUAAUACGAAGGGUGCAAGCGUUAAUCGGAAUUACUGGGCGUAAAGCGCGCGUAGGUGGUUUUGUAAGUUGGAGGUGAAAUCCCCGGGCUCAACCGUGGAACUGCCUCCAAAACUGCAUGACUAGAGUACGGUAGAGGGUAGUGGAAUUUCCUGUGUAGCGGUGAAAUGCGUAGAUAUAGGAAGGAACACCAGUGGCGAAGGCGACUACCUGGACUGAUACUGACACUGAGGUGCGAAAGCGUGGGGAGCAAACAGGAUUAGAAACCCGGGUAGUCC
This 450-nucleotide ribosomal RNA is filed under the name uncultured bacterium. Its description in RNAcentral is "partial 16S ribosomal RNA". It matches the Rfam family "Bacterial small subunit ribosomal RNA", at positions 354 to 796 of the family's 1533-position model. The record is from RNAcentral.